AUCCUUCAGACCCUCUCCAUUACACUCGUCUCCAAUCUUGAACCCAAGAGACGUCGCCCUUAAAUUCCAGCCGUCUCCGCUGGCGACACCUCCUCCAAUAACCCUCAUCUUUACAUCAUAGCACCCCUGUGACCCCCUCAUACCUAAUCUAUCACUGGUUUCUCUCGAAUCUGUCCAAAUUCCUUAAAUCUCAAAUCUGAGUUCGAGCCCUAAAAAGUUCAAAACCAGUUCCUGUUGAACGGAUCGCAUGCAUCGACCUAGGCUUGUGAUUCUCAUGAAUAGAGGGUUGAUUCACUACAAAACAUAAGUUAUUCAUUUUUUCUUGAUAAAGAACAAAUGAUCAGCAUCUAUUUCUUGUGAGUCAGGGUAUCAAGCGUAAUUUCGAGUUUAAUCGGUGAGUUUCUAUCCCUCUUUGUGUGCAUUUUGGUUUUAUUUUACCUGUUGUUCUUCUUCUUUUCCUCUCAUGUUUUUUCUUGGUUUGAAACUAGGUCGAUAUUUUGGGUUCAAAUUGUUUCAUGUUCGUAUGUUCCCUCUAUUUCUUUGUUUUCAAAUCGGAAAAAGCUUGUUAGCUGAUCUUCUAGGCCUGUUGGGUUUUAUUUAAAUUUUUUAUUCUCCCUUUUGAUCCUAGUCUUGUUAGUUUGGUUUAAUUAGGUUAAUUUGGAUUUAAUAACUUAGUCAAUUUUCAAACUUAUUUGUGUUAGUGAAUUAGUUUCCUUAGUUCAUAUUUUUAAUCAAGUGGCUUGUGUUCUAUUUAUCCUUACAGAAUUUAGUUGGAUUAAUUAGUGGUUUGGGCUUUGGGUUUCUGACCUAUUUGCAAAAUAAGGGCAGCUCGAUCAUUUAGUUGAACUAUUGGGUCAAUUUGACCCACGACCCAUAUCUGCAUGGGUUCAGGGGUAAAAAAACAGGGGUCUUAAAGGGUAGUCCAGGAAUAUAGGCUGGUGGAAUCAUUAUGUAACAUAAUAGGGAAUCUUCUAGGAAGCUGGGAUUAGGGUUAUUUUGAAAGUCUUAUUUUUGCAUUAAGGUUAGGUGAGCAAAAAUGAAAAGGUCAAAAGGAUUGAGGUGCAAAAUUUAGCUUAUUUCUGCAGCCCUAAUAGCUUGCCUAUAAAGGCAUCAUUACUUGAGAUUGAAGUCAGAUUUUAGGAGAAAAAAACUAGAGAUAAAACAAUCCUAAAAACUGAGCGACUGAAUCUAAAAAGAACACAGAAUUUUUCUGCAUUUCUUGGUUGAAAAACUACUUUAAAUUCUUUUCAGUUUUGAUCUGUUUAUGCUCCUUUUGUCAGAACUUUUGAAACUUUAGAUUCCUGCACCUGGGUAAAGAAAUGGUUUGAUUUUGGGGCUUGAAAGUUUGGUUUGAGCUUGUUUGUGUGGAGUAUUGUCUAGUUGCCGUUACAGUUUGAAUUCUUUGGGUUUAAUUGGCUGAUUACAGCACUGUUCCAUUGCCUUUCUGGUACUACUGUCUACUGAUUUGCACUUCUUUUUUUCCCUCUAUUUCCAGGUAUUUUCAGCACUAUGGAUAUCACUUUAGUGUAAUAUGAAGUUUUGAUUUAGAAAUAUGAAAAGCUUAUGUUAUUUGUAGUUUAAAUCUCAUCCUUUCUUCCUUCAAUAUAAUAAUGGUUGUAGUAUUUAGCUCUUGAAUUGUUUUGACUAGUACAUUAAUCAUGGAUAGGGUGAGAUUGGAGCUUCAAGUGAUAUGUUUCUUCUUUUCAAUUAUCAAUUUUGUUCGAAUUUGGUUUAGGUGAAGGAAUUGCCUUAGGUGCAUUUGCAGUAAUACUUAGGCCAAUAUUGGAUUUUCUGAAGUGUUUUGAAUGUUAUGUGAUUAGACUUGGUUGCUUUAAGGUCAUGGCCAUCUAAUGUCAAUCUUACAUAUUUUUUUAAUAUGAAGCCCAGUUGAAGUUAAAAUUCCCAUGUCAUUACUUCAAAUUAGCUGGAAGCUUGAAAUUUAAAGUUGUAUGUGAUACAACUCUCAAAAUUUAACCUUCAAUUGUUUUCAAAAAUCAUAUCACUGUUGAAAAUCUCAUGUAAUUGUAUGUUAAGUAGUUAAAACUGAUUCGAAAACUGAUUGCACACACAUUGGUGUUUUGUUGAUAGCUAUUUGGGUUUACAUAAGCACCCUGUGAUUUUUCAGACACAGCUUGGGUGCUUUAGGGAUUCGAAGUCGAGUCCCAUACUUGCUAAUUUUAGGCUCUUGAAAGAUUUGGGCUCAGCUUGGACCCAAGUCUGGAGAGAUUUGUAAAAUUUGAAUUCUACACUUUGCAUUAUUUGGGCCUGCCCUUUUAAUUUCCAUACAAAUGUUGUUGAUGGCCCAAGCUGUUCCGUCUCUUUUAAAUAAUUUGCCAUGUUCUUUAUCAAGACUUUUUCUUUCGUCUAGUUUGGACAUUAGUCUUGACAUAAGAUUCAAAUUCCUUCUUUGCUUAAUUAAUUAGAUUCCUUUGAUAAUUGGGGCAAUCCAUAUUAUAUAUUGCAAAUAGUUUAUGGCCCUCGUAACCUUAAUUAAGAUACGUCUAGAUAUGAAGCGUGCCAUCUUUAAGAAGACAUAGUUUAUGGCCCCAAAAACUGAGUUUUAAAUUUUCUUAAAACUAGAAUCGAGGUGUGUCGUGAGAAAUAAAAUUUCAAAAUGCAUGGCCCUCGCUUAAUUCAUAUUUUUAUCCUUAGAAAUCGAGGUACGCUAUUUAGUUGAAUUUUCCAUGGCCCUCGCAAUGUUGAAAGUGUGUAGUUUCUUUAGGCGUGCUAUUUAAAAAUUACUUUCCUAAACUCGGGUAUGUAUUUCAUGUGACCCAAAUCCAAAUAUUAAUAACGUUAAAUAAAAUGUGUCUUGGACUGCAGGUGCAUUUCAUGUGGCGUGGUCCAAAGACGUAUUUUAGAUGACGAGAAAAUCUUUCUUAAAGUAAAUAAAAGCGGUUAUAAAGUGUUAUUGAACCAUAGUCCAAAACAUAUAUUAAAAUCAGAUAAUAGGCCAAUUAUAAUAGUUGAGCGAUUAUGCUAGAACCCCAGAACCCGAGCAUUCCUAACACCUUCUCCCGGGUUAACAGAAUUCCUUACCCGAAUUUUUGUGUUUGUGGACUGUAAAACAGAGUCAAUCUUUCCUCGAUUCGGGAUUUGAAAUUGGUGACUUGGAACAACAUAAAUUAUCCCAAGUGGCGAUUCUGAAUUUUUUAAUAAAAUCCCAUUUCGACUAUCACUUUAAGUUGGAAAAAACUCCCUUAUAUACCCCUUUACCGAGGUGUAUGAAAAGGGAGGUGUGGAAGGGAGAUCCAGCUUAUAGUUUCAGAUAGAAGUACUCUUCUCUUAGGGUGUUUUACAUAGCUUAACUCAGGUAGAACCAUUUCUCCUAGGGAGAUCCACCUAAUAGUUCCUGGUAUAAGUACUCUUCUCUCGAGGUAUUUUACGUAGCUUAACCCAGGUAGAACCUUUUUCGCCUAGGGGGAUCCAUCUUAUAGUUACUGGUAGAAGUACUCAUCGCUCAGGUUGUUUUAUGUAGUUUAACUCAGGUAGAACCGUUUCACCUAUAGGGAUUCAGCACUACAUCCGUAAUACAGGGCGCCAACCCCUUGUUAUAUUCCUUUUAGUAAUACACGGUGCCAACCCCUGGUUACAUUGUUUUUUCCAUAAUACAGGGUGCCAACCCCUGGUUCCAUUUCAUUUUAGUAACAUAGGGUACCAACCCUAAUUAUAUUCCUUCCUAGUGAUAUAGAGUGCCAACCCCUAGUUACGUGCCUUCUCAGUAAUAUAGGGUGUCAAUCCUUGGUUAUAUUCCUUCUAGUAAUAUAGGGUAUCAACCCGUGGUUACAUUUCCUUUUCAAUUAUACAAGCUGCCAAUCCCUGGUUACAUCCCUUAUCAGUAAUACAGGGUACCAUCCUCUAAUUCCAUUUCUAUUGGUAACAUAAGGUACUACCAUUUGUGGUUGUAUAUCCUCACAAAUCUAGUUUAUACUACUGCCUUUGUCUUCAUUUCAACGAAUUAGAUACUUUAUAGCUUUCUCUAACUCACAAAAUUUUCCUAGUGCCAAACUGGGGAAGAAAAUUUUUAUUUGUUUUGUUUGUCUUUGAUGGCUGCCGUAUAGCACAAGUGAUGACUAAAGCUUGCAACUUCAGUUUCUCAUCAGAAGAAAGAAGCCUUUUGAUCACAAGAUAUUUGGAGUUAGCUUUGAUAAUAUGUCAGCAAACUCAGCUUCUCAAGUUCCAUUUUAUCAAAUUCUGAUAUGGAAAGCCAGCAAUCGACAAUGAGCCCUAAUCUUUUUAUCAAAGAGAAUCAAGAUCCAAUCUAAGGUCAACACAAGCAAGUAAGUCAAGAAUCAAGAUUUGGCUCCACAAGACAUAUAUAUAGGAAUUUCGUAAUUCUUAGCUUGCAGGCAUAUGAAUUUCUCUUCUCUUUUCCUUUUGAUGUAACUAGCAAGUAAUGGUAACAGCAGCAACAAUAGUCUUAAUUCUUACCUGAUUCGUUUAUAACCAGGGAUAUGUAGACAUCCUUGAAAGCAAGGUUCUGUCACGUUUUUCAAAAAUACUUUCAUUGGAGUGAUACAUAAGCAAAAUUAGGUACAACAUUCACUUUCUUUUCACGAAACUCUUAAUGUUCUCGAU
This 4578-nucleotide long non-coding RNA is filed under the name Nicotiana benthamiana. RNAcentral's name for it is "long non-coding RNA (NBEN_LNC038350)". Lineage: Eukaryota; Viridiplantae; Streptophyta; Magnoliopsida; Solanales; Solanaceae. The record is from RNAcentral.